GACGAACGCUGGCGGCGUGCUUAACACAUGCAAGUCGAACGGAAAGGCCCUGCUUUUUUGGGGUGCUCGAGUUGCGAACGGGUGAGUAACACGUGAGUAACCUGCCCUUGACUUUGGGAUAACUUCAGGAAACUGGGGCUAAUACCGGAUAGGAUCUCCUGCUGCAUGGUGGGGGUUGGAAAGUUUCGGCGGUUGGGGAUGGACUCGCGGCUUAUCAACUUGUUGGUGGGGUAGUGGCUUACCAAGGCUUUGACGGGUAGCCGGCCUGAGCGGGUGACCGGCCACAUUGGGACUGAGAUACGGCCCAGACUCCUACGGGAGGCAGCAGUGGGGAAUAUUGCACAAUGGGCGGAAGCCUGAUGCAGCAACGCCGCGUGCGGGAUGACGGCCUUCGGGUUGUAAACCGCUUUCGCCUGUGACGAAGCGUGAGUGACGGUAAUGGGUAAAGAAGCACCGGCUAACUACGUG
RNAcentral lists this ribosomal RNA (468 nucleotides) under uncultured bacterium. Its description in RNAcentral is "partial 16S ribosomal RNA". It matches the Rfam family "Bacterial small subunit ribosomal RNA", at positions 28 to 507 of the family's 1533-position model. The record is from RNAcentral.